This 322-nucleotide unclassified non-coding RNA is filed under the name soil metagenome. Its description in RNAcentral is "partial contains 5.8S ribosomal RNA, internal transcribed spacer 2, and large subunit ribosomal RNA". The stretch from base 1 to 120 matches the Rfam family "5.8S ribosomal RNA", at positions 35 to 154 of the family's 154-position model. The record is from RNAcentral.
GAUGAAGAACGUAGCGAAAUGCGAUAAGUAGUGUGAAUUGCAGAAUUCAGUGAAUCAUCGAAUCUUUGAACGCACAUUGCGCCCCUUGGUAUUCCAUGGGGCAUGCCUGUUCGAGCGUCAUUUGUACCUUCAAGCUUUGCUUGGUGUUGGGUGUUUGUCCUGAGGGACUCGCCUUAAAGUAAUUGGCAGCCAGUGUUUGGUUUUGAAGCGCAGCACAAGUCGCGAUUCAAAGCUAUACGCCCGCUUCCACAAGCCUUUUUCACUUUUGACCUCGGAUCAGGUAGGGAUACCCGCUGAACUUAAGCAUAUAAUAAGCGGAGGA